Molecule: ribosomal RNA, 657 nt
Filed under: Megaliobdella szidati
Lineage: Eukaryota; Metazoa; Annelida; Clitellata; Hirudinida; Piscicolidae
Also listed under: 1 other name
Description: eukaryotic LSU rRNA
Rfam family: Eukaryotic large subunit ribosomal RNA
Source: RNAcentral
GAAAAGAACUUUGAAGAGAGAGUUCAAUAGUACGUGAAACCGUUCAGAGGUAAACGGAGAGGGCCGCAAAGUUCGUUGCGCGAAUUCAACCAGGCCGGUAGGCGGCAGACCUUAGGAACGAUUCUCGUCGACCUUCGGACCCUGCAGACUGACUACGACUGGUGCACUUUCGCGCGACGGAGCGCCACGACCGGUUGAUCGGCGGUAAGAAACUCUCCGGUUAGGUGUCAGUGGCUCGCGAGAGUCGCUGAGUUAUAAACCGAGAUGCUAAUUGCCCGUCGUGAAAUCGAGGAAGACCGAGCUCAGGCGUUUAAAGUGCUUGAUAGACUUCGUCGUUACGUUCGACCGAAGGGGACUGCGCGAGCAGUGCUCUACGAACGCGUUUCGAUGCUCGUCCGUCGUACGAUAAGCGGUCCUAAGGGGUCUGUGGCGAUUCUGUCGGUAGCCUAUCCGACCCGUCUUGAAACACGGACCAAGGAGUCUAACACGUGCGCGAGUCUCAGGGUCGUACGAAACCUGUUGGGCGUAAUGAAAGUGAAAACUGGCCGUCAAAAAGCCAGUUUAGGUAGGAUUCCGAAGUCGGCAACGACGACGGCGGCACUACCGGCCUGUUCCAGUCGCUUCGACGACGGGGCGGAGCAAGAGCGUACGCGUUGG